AUCAUUGCGAGUGCAACUGCGUCAAUCAAGGAUUGUUUUGUAAAAGCCACUUGAUACGCUGGUGCAAUGGAAUUUUCCAUUCAUUGGAGAAUAAAAAAGUUGUUGAAGCUUCAAACAGUGAGAUAGCAAGCUUUUAUCGUUGUCUAUAUAUGAACGGUAUAAAGCGCUUUAGCAGACAGGUGUGGGAUCCCACCGUUGAUACACCCCGACAAUUCCAAGCACAUGUGGUCGAACAAAAAUAGUUCAAGACGUUAACUACCUACACAUCAUUGUAUCUAUUCUUGAAGAGUAUUCGUACGAUUAUUCAACUCCUGAAAUUCUUGAUGGUAUGAUGAAAGAAAUGAAAACGAGUUGAUAUCUUGAUUUUUACAUAAGUUGCAUCACGUGCAACAAUGUCAACGGUAGCAAAAUAGGUGAAAAAAGUUCAUCAACAAUCACGUCUUAACUUUCUCCAAUGAAAAGAAUGGACGAUGAAGGAUGAAGAAUGUAAUUCAGAAAUGAGGAGGCUCAUUAAAUUGUAAUUACUGUAAUCACAACAAAAAAAAUUCGGGAUGUAUAAGCGGUGAGUUGAGUGCAUUCCAUUAGAAAAAUUUGGCUCUAUUCAGUUUUUAAAUAUCGGAGGGACAUCCGCCAUUAAGCACUCGUGUUUAAUUUAAUUUCUUAUCUCUAAAGUCGUCCGCAUUAGUAAGACCUCGUAGUUUCCGUGUUACAGAUAAGUGGAUAAUGAUAUUAUUGACAAUCGCGAGUAACUGCUAAAGUUGAUGAACUUCUCCUAUUUUCAUAAAUUAAUUAAACGUUUACUUUAUUAUAUCAUCCAGUUGAACAAUCAAAAAAUACUGAAAGAUAAACGAUAGGAGAGUUCGGUCGCUCGUUGUAAUGACAAUUAAUUUUAAAAUUGAGAAGAACUUAUUCCUCAUCUUUUAUCAGUAAUUUUCCAUUGAAAAAUCGAUCACCCAACUGUUUGCGAAGCACCUGAGUAAAUUACUGAAUGAUUGGAAGAGCUCUUGUUGCGUGAAAUUGAUCAGUUAUUUAAUUCUGAAAAACGAUUUCAAUUUUCACACAUUUCCGAAGUUCAUUUUGUCUAUUAAAAAUAAAUAUUAGUCAAAUAUGAGAAAAUCAAUUCCUCCCACAGAAGUUGAAGUGAAUCACCGAAUGGAUGAACGAAAAUUAUGGACAGUGAAUCCGUAAAAAAAAAAUACCAAUGCUCGAUUAGUCAUCAAUGAUUACCCACUUUACAUGGACUUCAUAAAUAUUUCUCCUGACCCAUCCAAUUGACUCAGCUGCAAAUUUUCUACUCACGUAUAUCGGAAUCAUUCAUCAUUUUCUUGCGGUCAUUCAGUCAUAAGAAUACGCGAUAAGAACGAAGUCACGGAAAAUAAAUUUGAGGCUCAAUUGAAAGGACAUCUAUUUAUCGUGUUCUAACAGAAAUCAAUGUGUAAUCGUCUGUAGUACAUCUUGAAAUUGUUAACAAUGCCUCAAGGAUUUUAGUGUACACAAACUGAAGUCGUGCCACACACUUGAACAAUGUUAACUGGUCAGGCGUAUCGUCUUCUUCCCAUUAUCAAACACCAACCGGAAAUAUAUUGUCGUCAACUACUAGGCGAAGUCACAAAAGGUGCGGUCGUAUACCCAAUACAUCAGACCUCCUUACAUCUCAAUCAUCACAAAUAUUAAAUGAAAAACCUUCAAUAGUUGAUUAUCUACAUAAUAUAAGGAGAUGCUGAAGUACAUUGUUUUGAUUUACAUUACUGGAUUUUUAAGGGUCUUGGAGUCCCUGUUUUGGAUUCCCCUGGUCACUCGACCCAAUCCUGUGCCAUUCAUGAGACACAGAAUUAAUUUAGAAAAUCAUCGAAUUCAAGAUCUCUCCCCCCUCCCAUACUCCAAUAAAAUGUCAAUCGAAAAUUGUACUUAUGCUUGAACGAAUUUGAAGCAUCACAAUUAAGGAAACCUAAAGUUUACCCUCGGGUGAAGGCACGGAUACUCCAAAAUAAUCAUCAUCAUAAAAAUCCAAUUAACUUAUGUAGCUAUCAUAAUUAUCUUUUAACUUCAACUUAAUGGCAUCGACUGGGCAUUUUAAGUUAGAUUAUAUGAUUUUGAGGCGUAAUCUUCAAAGAUAUUCCGGGGAUUUGGAUUUUCAGAAAGAAAACAAAUUUAUGUAUUUCAUUAUUGGACUCAUCAGUGGAACAUCGAGGGAGAAAAUAUGUAUUUGUUCACCUGCUAAUAGGUAUAUUUCAAUUAUUUUCUCAAGCUCAUGGAAUUGGGUUCUCCCUGUACGUACGAAACGCCGAAAACCGUCGCUCUAGGUACAGGAAGGACUCAAAGGAAGGACUUUUCAGAGAUGAAAAAAACGAAAACGAUGAAGAAAUCGAAAGAGAGCAAUAAAAAGUGAAAUCCGCACCUGUGCAAGAGGUAUCAGGAAAAUGUAUUGCAAAUCGUGGCAGUAACCUGUUCGCUUUCGCAGUAUAUGCUGUCCUUUGUUUUCAAUACCACUAGAUGCUUACAAUAUAUAAGUUGUUGUAUACCUGCGCCUACAAUGCUCAACGCUGGUGGACAUAUUCUCAACACCACAGUGAAAGGGAGAACCGACCAGUGAAAAUGUAGAGAUUGCGUCUAAUGAUUGCAUGUGACCGAUGGAAUAUUUUAUUAUAAUUUGCUGUAUUUUCCAUCUACUACAAAUUAGAAUGAUAAUCACAAUCAAUUUUUUUUCAUCUUCAUGUUGAGAGGUUUCACUUUCAAAUUUCAGAGAAAAGAUUCAUUUAUUUUUCUUGAACACGAAUCAUAUUUACUUAUCAUUUGAUAGUCAAAUCGCUAUCAUUUGCGGUUUGAAAGCCUUUUCGCAACGUUUGCCAUGAGAUACCUCAUAAUGCUCGUGAUUUGAGUUUGUAAUGAAGACAGUCAAUUUAUAUUAAGAUUCAGAGACAAGUUGAAAGUUAUGAACCGCAACGAUUCGUUUAAAUAACAUCCGUAUGGGUAUACGAAGGAUCGUUUGUUAAGAAAAAUUGUCGGUAAUUGAGAUAAGUCGGUUGUUGACAAAAAAAAAAUUAUAAUGGGUUAUAAUUGUUGAUUAUGAUCUCCUGGUCCCAUCAAACGUUCAUUCGUUAAUCGUUAGCGAAUGUGGUUUGCAUUAAUGAAUCAUUUCAUUGCUGCACACUAUAAAAAUCGGUUUUGUACUAAGAUCGAAAUAUAUGAUUUAUUGAAGAGAAGAUCCA
Diachasmimorpha longicaudata is the source of this 3209-nucleotide long non-coding RNA. RefSeq lists it as uncharacterized. The transcript has 4 exons. NCBI's taxonomy places the organism in Eukaryota, Metazoa, Arthropoda, Insecta, Hymenoptera, Braconidae. The record is from RefSeq and is a predicted model, not a curated record.